RNAcentral lists this long non-coding RNA (512 nucleotides) under Anas platyrhynchos (mallard). RNAcentral's name for it is "lncRNA (ENSAPLG00020002914.1)". Lineage: Eukaryota; Metazoa; Chordata; Aves; Anseriformes; Anatidae. The record is from RNAcentral.
CUGUGGUCUUGUGCUCUUCACUUGAGUUACUCUGUUUUGUGCUUUUCAAAAACUGUUUCUUGAUUGUAGGUCAAGAAGCUAUACAAGAAGCCGAAGCAGAGGCUGGUAUAGUAGAGAUCGUUCAAGAAGUCGAAGUAGUUCCUACCACAGUUACAAGAGUCGUAGUCGAACCUAUAGUAGAAGCAGAUCAAGAAGUAGUUCCUAUGGUCAUCACAGCCGAUCCAGUAGGUCAUACACGUAUGAUAGUUACUAUAGCAGAAGCCGAAGUAGAAGUAAAAGGAGUGACAGCUAUCGGAGAUCUAGAAGUUACGAUAGGCGAUCCAGAUCGUAUGGCUCUGACAGUGAGAGUGAUCGCAGUUACUCCAACAACCGAAGUCCCAGUGAAAGCAGUGGGUAUAGCUGAAAAUCUUUCUGUGACGAUUGAAACCGUAUUUAAUAAGUUUGUCAGUGUUAUGUUUAAAACCAGAACUGUUCUGAGGAUGUCACAAGUGAAGUUGAAGGAUGUUUACUGA